GACACCUUACACAGAGUGCCUAGCCUUA
RNAcentral lists this non-coding RNA (28 nucleotides) under Mus musculus (house mouse). Lineage: Eukaryota; Metazoa; Chordata; Mammalia; Rodentia; Muridae. The record is from RNAcentral.